RNAcentral lists this unclassified non-coding RNA (200 nucleotides) under Hevea brasiliensis (rubber tree). Lineage: Eukaryota; Viridiplantae; Streptophyta; Magnoliopsida; Malpighiales; Euphorbiaceae. The record is from RNAcentral.
GUGGAGAAAUUUCAGAAGGAUAAAUGAAACGAGGAGCUUCCUGUAUCUUCUAUUCAUUUAUUUCUCCGUGUUAUAUAGCAAGCUCAUAAUAUUUCUUGUGAAUUUAUUAUGAUAAUGCAGUGUCUAGAGCNNNNNNNNNCCUGUUUUGUAUCUUUGUUGUUAGAAUCAAAGAUUGGCUAACCCUUUUAGCUUGUACCCGC